CCUACGGGUGGCAGCAGUGAGGAAUAUUGGUCAAUGGGCGAGAGCCUGAACCAGCCAAGUCGCGUGAGGGAGUACUGCCCUAUGGGUUGUAAACCUCUUUUGUCGGGGAGCAAAAGCCGGACGUGUCCGGCUGUGAGAGUACCCGAAGAAAAAGCAUCGGCUAACUCCGUGCCAGCAGCCGCGGUAAUACGGAGGAUGCGAGCGUUAUCCGGAUUUAUUGGGUUUAAAGGGUGCGCAGGCGGAUUUUUAACUCAGCGGUAAAAUCGUGGGGCUCAACCCCAUCCAGCCGUUGAAACUGGGGAUCUAGAGUGUGCGAGAGGUAUGCGGAAUGCGUGGUGUAGCGGUGAAAUGCAUAGAUAUCACGCAGAACCCCGAUUGCGAAGGCAGCAUACCGGUGCACAACUGACGCUCAGGCACGAAAGCGUGGGUAUCGAACAGGAUUAGAUACCCUAGUAGUC
This 458-nucleotide ribosomal RNA is filed under the name uncultured bacterium. Its description in RNAcentral is "partial 16S ribosomal RNA". It matches the Rfam family "Bacterial small subunit ribosomal RNA", at positions 338 to 795 of the family's 1533-position model. The record is from RNAcentral.